This is a long non-coding RNA of Amphiprion ocellaris (clown anemonefish), 12157 nucleotides long. Lineage: Eukaryota; Metazoa; Chordata; Actinopteri; Pomacentridae. The record is from Ensembl.
GUUUAGACUUACUGUUUUCCAUUUUUUAAAACUGGAGUUCAACAAUAUAAUCCUGUUUCAUUAUUUGAUUAAAAUACUGUAUUAUAUUGUUGGCAGCUAAUCUUAAACAAAUUUUACACUAGGGUUAAAAGCCGUGUUGUUUGCCCUCUUUGCUUGAAGGUUUUAGGUAUAUUUCAGCUCACUCAAUAUUGUUGAUGUGUGUGGUUUGGCUUGCAGCAGCAUUGAUCUCAGAGGCCCAUCACACUAUCAUUUUCACUUGAGCAUCAUUGGUACUAGGUGAAAAGUUAAAUCCCGGUUUGUCAGGAACGAAGAGAUUUUCAGGGGGUGCUAAGUUAGUAUAAUUACAAUUACUACCUACUUUACUAAAUAAAUACAGUACUGUGCAAAGGUUUUAGGCACUCUAGAUGUUUAGAUUCUUAUCUAUCUUACAGCAUCAGGAGGCAUCUGAUUGGUCCCAAAUUAAUACUGCUGCAUGAGAACAAGCCCAGAUGUACUGCUAGACUUAUAAAGAACCUUCCUGCAACAGAUGGCCUGACCCACACUGAGCCCUGAUCUGAACAUCAUGGAGUCAGUCUGGAGUUUCAUGAGCAGACAAAAGACAGCAAGACAGCCUACACCCACAGAGGAACUAACAGGCAGUGGAAGAGGGGAGAGAAGGGAGAAUGCUGACUGAGUUAUACCCACAGUCUACAUCUUAUGAGUCAGUCUAAAGUUAUCCUAACUAUCUCAAGUUUAGCACAACCAGUUCACCCCACCAGAUUUGCCUAAACCCCUUGGUCCACGUCUUCAAGAACAGCCAGAAAACUGUAGUAAAAAAGAGCCUUUGCAGGUUUGCUUGAAAAAACUAGUCUACUUGUCCAUAUAGUGGGAUAAAAUGUUAGCUUACAACUUGUAACAGCUGUGUUCCAGCAUAAUCUGUUCAUAAAUACCAAGCUCACUGACUGAAAUACAUUUUUUCAUUGCUGUUGCAAGUGUUAUUGCUUAUAUAAGCCAUCUCUGCAUCAUGUUAUUCACAGACUAGAUUCGAAAUUCUUGUUUAGUGACCUAAACAAGAAUAUCAGAUAUACCAAACACAUACAGAAUACAGAUCGGUAACAAACACUAUUGCCUUGCUUAUAACCAUGUAAAUAUCAUGCUGAAUUGCGCUAAGAACUGCAAACGGUUCUUUGACCAUAAUUACCACAAGAAAUGUUAAAGGGUCACAUAAACAAACCUUUGUUGUCACCACUUAGAUAAAAUUCUGUGUCUUGGCACGUUGUCACUGUUUGAUCCAGACAAAAGCAGCUGUAGACAUAAAUAAACUGGGUCAUAGUCACUUGACAGAAGACAGUCACUUUAGGUUGUCUGCUCUAGUGCACCCCUACUAAUUUCAGCUCCACCUUAAAUCAUUUGGUUCUGGAACUAGGCCUGGCCCAAGAUGCUUGGAAAAGGCUUUACUUUUAGCUUCUAAAUGUUUUGCAAAGUAAUUCACAUUUUAAACAGUUUAAUUCCGAAAAUAUAGCAGAUUAGACUUAUGGUUAAGACCAUGCCAACUCAUAGUUAAGGAAAACCAGUCACCCAGAGUACAUCACAAACUAAAACAGUGAAAUAAACUCCCUCCUAAGAUACACAGAGAAGCACUGCAUUACAACUUUUCCAAACUGUGUGUUUAAAUUUACAACAUCCAAAAUACUUUACCCAUCAAUGACUAGCAUCAGUUGACUAUAACCGAUAAGAGCUGUCAGAAUCUCUUAAACAUUCUGACCAGUCCAAAUCCUUUAAGUCUUGUAAAUUUUGAGAUGAUGCCACUGUAAAUUAGACUUGUAGCACAUCCCAACACCCUGUCAAUGGUUCAUGGUUGAUACAGACCAAGAGUUAGUUAUACCUACAGUACAGAAGAAAAUACAUUCCUGCACAAUGUCACUAAAUUUCAAAUGAAUCAAAUUUGUGUCAGCUUACAUUAGUUGCAUUACUUCAAAUCUAAUCAGUUGUAGUAAGUAUUUGCUCUGACAAGUACUGACAGUUUGCAUUUACUAUAUUAAAAAUGUAGCCCCCCACAGUUGGAAUUCAGUGCAACAAAUGUCAGUACAGUAUUGAAAAAAAGCAUUUUGUUUCAGUACUUGAUAUGUCCACCUUUAUUUUGGUGACAAAUACAAUCCUCCUCAGUAUGGAUGAUACCAGUGCUGCACAAAAUUCUGCAGAGACAGACUUUGAUAGUUUGUAGUCUUCCCUUUUUCUUCUUUGGAAGCUCUUCUGUGAUUUUGGCAGUGUGCUUUGGAUCAGUAUCGUGCUAUAUUCCUCUUCUGCCAAGCCUCUGAAGACAAAGAGUCAUCUUGGCAUCCAGUAUCUUUGUAUAUCCAUAGGGGUUCAUGGUGCUAUUUAUACAAUAUAUUGCCAAAAGCAUUCGCUCACCUGCCUUAACUCGCAUAUGAAUGUAAAUGACAUCCCAUUCCUAAUUCAUAGGGUUCAAUAGGAUGUCGGUCCAUCCUUUGCAGCUAUAACAGCUUCAACUCUUCUGGGAAGGCUGUCCACAAGGUUUAGGAGUGUGUUUAUGGGAAUUUUUGACCAUUCUUCCAGAAGCACAUUUGUGAGGUCACACACUGAUGUUGGACGAGAAGGCCUGGCUGUCAGUCUCUGCUCUAAUUCAUCCCAAAGGUGUUCUAUCGGGUUGAGGUCAGGACUCUGUGCAGGCCAGUCAAGUUCAUCCACACCAGACUCUGUCAUCCAUGUCUUUAUGGAUCUUGCUUUGUGCACUGGUGCACAGUCAUGCUGGAAGAGGAAGGGGUCAGCUCCAAACUGUUCCCACAAAGUUGGGAGCAUGGAAUUGUCCAAAAUGUCUUGGUAUGCUGAAGCAUUCAGAGUUCCUUUCACUGGAACUAAGGGGCCAAGCCCAGUUCCUGAAAAACAACCCCACACCAUAAUCCCCCCUCCACUGAACUUUACACUUGGCACAAUGCAGUCUGACAAGUAUCGUUCUCCUGGCAACUGCCAAACCCAGACUCGUCCAUCAGAUUGCCAGAUGGAGAAGCGUGAUUGGUCACUCCAGAGAAGGCGUCUCCACUGCUCUAGAGUCCAGUGGCAGCAUGCUUUACACCACUGCAUCCUACGCUUUGCAUUGCACUUGGUGAUGUACGGCUUGGAUGCAGCUGCUCGGCCAUGGAAACCCAUUCCAUGAUGCUCUCUGCUGAAGCACUGUUCUUGAGCUAAUCUGAAGGCCACAUGAAGUUUUAAGGUCUGUAGCGAUUGACUCUGCAGAAAGUUGGCGACCUCUUCGCACUAUGCGCCUCAGCAUCCGCUGACCCCACUCCGUCAGUUUACAUGGCCUACCACUUGGUGGCUGAGUUGCUGUCAUUCCCACACACUUCCACUUUCUUAUAAUACAGCUGACAGUCGACUGUGGAAUAUUUAGGAGCGAGGAAAUGUCACGACUGGAUUUGUUGCACAGGUGGCAUCCUAUCACAGUUCCACGUUGGAAUUCACUGAGCUCCUGAGAGCGACCCAUUCUUUCACAAAUGUUUGUAAAAGCAGUCUGCAUGCCUAGGUGCUUGAUUUUAUACACCUAUGGCCAUGAAAGUGAUUGGAACACCUGAUUCUGAUUAUUUGGAUGGGUGAGCUAAUACUUUUGACAAUAUAGUGUAACUGUCAUCUCCCCAACACCUUUGUACCCAUGCAACCACAUAUCAUCACACUCUCACCUCUGUGCUUCAUUGUCAGGACUAUGCAUUCAACGUGGUAGUCCUGGUCAGGUUCAUGCCAGGACCCCAUCUAAGAUGAACAAAUUUAUCCUGGUCUCACUUGACCAGAGAAUGUGCUCCCAGUUUUCAAUAGGCUUUGUUUUAUGUUCUUUAGCUAAGUUUCAUCUUGCAGUUUUGUGCCAAAGAGCAAGAAAGGUUUUUUUGUUUGGGAACCAUCCAUAGUGCACGCCAAUUUCCACUGAAAACCCCUGUACCAAGUUUUAAACACUUUCCCUUUUGUUUUUUUAGAGCUAGCUUUUCCAAGUAGCAGACUGUGCAUAGUAUGAUCUUAGGACAGCCAUUGCCAGUUAAGUACUAGUACUGUGGCUAAUUUUAUACCUUCUAAUUACUGUUUAGAUGGAUUUUAGUUGAUCACCAAUCUUCAUGUAUCCCUUUUCAUCCUUUUGAAAGGAUACAUGAAAAAAAUUACUUUCGCUGGCACUUUAAUACAAUACAGUCAAGUCCACAAAUAUUUGGACACAGACACAAUUUUCAGCAUUUCGGCUCUGUACACCAUCACAAUGAAUUUGAAAUGAAAAUAUCAAAAUGUGCUUUAAGUACAGACUUUCAGCUUUAAUUUGAGAGAAUUUACAUCCAAAUCAGGUAAACGAUGGAAGAAUUACAACGCAUUUUAGAUAUACCCUCCACCUUUUAAUAAUUGGACAAUUGGCUGCUCAGCUCUCCCAUGGCCAGGUGUGUUAUUCACUCAUUAUUCCAUCGUUUGGAAUCUGGUGAGGUCAACUCCUUUAAAUAUGAAGUCAUUAUCAGUGAAGCUAGCCAUCAUUAGGCUGAAAAAUCAAAACAAACCCAUCAGAGACAUAACAAAAACAAGAAAAACCUCUUCACAACAGUUGACCAGAUAAAGAAGACUCUCCAGGAGGUAGGCGCAUCUGUGUCAAAGUCAACAAUUAGGAGAAUAUUUCACCAGAGUGAAUACAGAGUGUUUACCACAAGGUGUAAACCACUGGUGAACCUCAAAAACUGGAAGGCCAGAUUAGAGUUUGCCAAAAAACAUCGAAAAGAGCCUAUGAAGUUCUGAAACAGCAUCCUAUGGACAGAUGAGACAAAGAUCAACUUGUACCAGAGUGAUGGGAAGAGAAGAGUCUGGAGAAGGGAAGGAACUGCUCAAGAUCCAAAGCAGACCACUUCAUCAGUGAUGCAUGGUGGUGGUGGUAUGAUGUCGUAGGCAUGUAUGGCUGCCAGUUGAACUGGUUCUCUUCUAUUUAUUGAUGAUGUGACUGCUGGCAAAAGCAGCAGAAUGAAUUCUGAAUGUUUCAGGCAAUAUUAUCUGCUCAUAUUCAGCCAAAUGCUUUAGAACUCAUUGGACGAUGCUUCACGGUGGAGAUGGACAAUGACCCGAAACAUACAGCGAAAGCAACCAAAGAGUAUUUUAAGGCAGAGAAGUGGAAUGUUCUGCAAUGGCCAAGUCAAUCACCUGACCUGAAUCCAAUCAAGCUGCAUUUCACUUGCUGAAGACAAACAAAAGGGAAAAUGCCCCACGAACAAGCAGGAAGUGAAGACAGCAGCAGUAGAGGCCUGAAGAAAACCCCUUCACAGCAGUUGGCUGGAUCAAGAAGACUCCCCAGGAGGUAGGUGUAUCUAUGUCAAAGUCAACAAUUAGGAGAAUAUUUCACCAGAGUGAAUACAGAGGGUUCACUACAAGGUGCAAACCAUUGUUGAGCCUGAAAAACAGGAAGGCCAGAUUAGAGUUUGACAAAACACAUCGAAAAGAGCCUGUACAGUUUUGGAACAAUAUCCUAUGGACAGAUGAGACGAAGAUCAACUUGUAACAGAAUGAUGGAAAGAGGAGAGUCUGGAGAAGAGAAGGAACUGCUCAAGAUCCAAAGCAGACCACCACAUCAAUGAAGCAUGGUGAUGGUAGUAUAUUGGUGUGGGUGUGUAUGGCUGCCACUGGAACUGGUUCUCUUCUAUUUAUUGAUGAUUUAACUGCUGAAUAAUGCAGCAGGAUGAAUUCUGAAGUGUUUCAAGCAAUAUUAUCUGCUCAUAUUCAGCCAAAUGCUUCAGAACUCAUUGGACGAUGCUUCACAGUGCAGAUGGAUAAUGACCUGAAGCAUACUGCGAAAGCAACAAAAGAGUAUUUUAAGGCAAAGAAGUGGAAUGUUCUGUAAUGGCCAAAUCAAUCUGGGAGAAAUGGUGUAUUUUCUGGAAAAAUUCCAGGGGUGCCAAUAAUUUCGACCAGGACUGUAAAUGAUAUAAAAUGUGAUGCAAUGCCUAUACCGUUCACCUGAGUUGGAUGUAAAUACCCUCCAGUUAAGCUGAAAGUCUGCACGUAAAGCACAUCUUGAUUAUUCCAUUGUGAUGGUGUACAGAUCCGAAAUGCUAAAAAUUGCGUCAAAUAUUUAUGGGCCUGACUGUAUUCCCACAACCCAAAGGUACAAAACUGAUCAAGUUGUAGUUUAUACACGUCAUCUUAUAAACAUGUUCAUGGAGGCAGGCUAAUUAGAAAUGUGUAGUUGAGAAUAGACAAAUUAGAAUAGAAUUAAUUUAUUGUCAUUGCAAAUUUUGCAGGUGAUAAAUUUUUGAAUCAUAUAACAUUUAAGUGACGUUGCAUUGGGAUGUGCUCCGUUCUGUACACUGUAACAGUUGUAGACUUGUGGUUUGCAGCAUAACUGCAAUGCUGGAGCACCUUUUUUGAAUACAUUUCUAAUGUCCCUCUUGCAAAUUCAAGCAGCCAUCAUUUUUUAUGACACAAUUAUGCCUGUGUUACAGCUACACAAGUGCAACUGCUACACGGUUUCUCCAUAGUGCAUAUGCAUAAAAUGAAUCACCUAAGCUGAACUAAAAUAUCACUUAAUGAGUGUCAGCUACCUCACAUUUUCCUUUUCGGAGAACUGUAAGUUCUUCUUGUCCACCUAGUGGGGAAGAUUGUGUGAUGUAAUUGAAUGCGGUGAAACAAAUGGACCUUGUGGUGAAAUUGUUUUUAUUGGUUAAUGUCAGUGACAGAUAGCAGUUACUGUUUAGGGAUCAUGUAUCAGUUUGCAUAAAAAACAAGAGUGCCUUUUGGUUCAUUUAAAAUAACAGUGUGCAGAAACUCCAUUCAUUGGACUAAAAAGGAAGUGUCCUGCAUCCAACAGUUUUUUGUAAUGUUCCACAAGACAUUCAUUGCUGCUUUACACAGUGCUUGGCUAUGCGAGCUCCAUCUGCAGUUUUCACACAUCUAUAGUACAAUUCACAUGAAAACUCUAAUUUUGCAAUUAAAGAGAGGUAGUAGAGGAGACCUCGAGCAGAUAGAAGUGCUUUCAUUUACAUAGUCUGACAUAAAGACUUACAAACAAGUUAAUUCAAUCCAUACUCAACUCCUUAGGAUUAACAGUUUUGAUCAGAUCACACAGAGCUUUGCUUGAACUUUGGUUGAUGUGCAAUAUAUUUUAAUAUCCUCCAAUCAUGCAUCUGUACAGAGGUUAUGGACAAUCUUACAUACACACAAACAUACAAUGAUAAUAUUCUUGUGUCAUAUGAACACACUUCACAUGCACACUGGAUUGUGAAUUUCCCCAGAAGGAUCAAUAAAGUUGAUCUUCUCUUACACCCACAUAUAAUGAACUUAUUAGUACUUACAGGUAAUUUGUUCAGGUCUGGUGGCUGUAUGAACACUGCAGGCUGGUGUAAUAUAAAAUAAUGUUUCUCACUUCUAUCUGGAGAAGAGAAUGCUGUAGCCACUGCUUAUCUUUCAUCUUCCUCUCCAUCUCCACACCACAUCAGUUCUUAAUGGAAUUAAGAAUUCAUUCAAUUAUUAGUGGGUAAUCUCUUUUGGAUGAAUCCUCUUGACAAAGGGUAAAAUGUUUUAAAGGAAAAAAUCUGUAGUUUUACAAAACUAAGAUGUAUUUUUUUGUUCUUGUCAUUCUUUUUGCCUGUGAUCAUUUACUUACCUUUUAACCUUGGGUCACAAGGACCCCACAGGGAGCAGCAAACAGGAGCUGUUUACCCAGGUUUCCUAAAAUACUUCUCCGAUUCAUUAUCAGGGAAGAUACCAAGCAGUUACUAAUAUUGUUGAGAAAUGAACUGGGUAAUUAUAUCACCACCUGUGCAAAGAUUGAACAUCUUCAAUCUUCUCCCUCUUUGGUUUGAUUUUCAUGUCCCUUGUUUUUCUUUGGUUUCAAGUUGAUUUGUCUUUUACAUGACACAUUUAGACUGAAGCAAUAUUUAGUGAUGAUAGUGAUUUUUAUGGAAGUGCUAAUAGCUUUAAUACGUGACACAAACCCCAAAUGUAAUAGGAUGAAAUGAGUCUAAAUGCAGUACUGAUCUCAUUGUGUCUCACAACUAGUUACUUUAUUGAUAGAAACAAAAUAUUAAAUUAGUCUUUCUAAUUUAAGUUCUUUUUUCUUUCUUUUUCCUUUGGCUAGAUACAGAUUUACACGAGACAUUCCAAAAUUGAAGUAGAUUGAAUAAAUCUAAUUUGAAACUGGUAGUUAAGAACUUCUUCUAGCUGGGUAAAGAUGCAGAAGAUAUUUCUUUGCAUCUCCUCAACUGCUUAAUUUUAGAUACAAAGGGCUAAAAGUAGUAGUAGUAGUCUAGUGACUGCUAAACCACGGCUUCCAGGCACCUGGAGGUUAAUUAAAGUUCUGUGAACAAAAUUAUUAUUUAAGUGCUGCAGUUUGUCCCAUCACAUCAGAAUGACAGCUAACUAUGACUUUCAUUUUCAAAUUAGAAAAUUUAAAUGUACACUGCAUCUUUGAGCAACUUUGAAAUUAGACAGAAAGACAUUCUGGGGAUAGACAACAUCUAAGAUGGAAUGAGAUUAUGUGCUAUUGUACAUUUAACAACCACAACAUUACAGCCACUGAUACAUGAUGUGACAAUACAAUGUUCUGCUGGGAAACCUUGGGUCCUGGUAUUUAUGUGGAUAUUUCUUUGACACGUACCACCCACCUAAACUUUAUUGCUGACCAGACACAAAGGAACAGCUCAAGGAACACAAGAGCUCAAGACAUUGGGCUAGCAACUAAACUCCUGCUGUCAGACACCACAGGAUACCCCCAGAGACACCAAUGAGUCAAAGGUUGUGUUGGCCACACAAGGGGGUCCUGCACAAUGUAAGACAGGUGGUUUUAAUCUUGUGGUUGAUCAGUGUAUAUUACUGUUUCUACAAUACUAGAAAACUUUUAGCUUUAGUUGGGAGCUUUGAAAAUGAUUGGAACUCUAAAUGUUGUUGAAAGAUAAUUAAACUCUACUGACUGUGGGCUUGGUCAUAUAAAUCACUGGCAGGUUAACAUUGCUUCACAUGCUAUUGCAUUACAUGCACUGGCAAAGGUUCAUUAUCAGUUAACCUGGCUAGCUGUCUCACUAACCAAAAUGCCAGUCAUUAACUGUAUAUAACCUUCGUUUUAGACUCUGCAGCAUCCUUCUCAGAAGUCAGGACAGUAAACAUAUCUUUGCUUUAGAUUUACUGAGCUAUGUUCUAUAUCAGCAUUUAAUAAAGAAUGCGAUAUGAAAACAAUGAGCAAGUACAUUUUCAGACCUUGACUAUUGGCAGUGCUAAUGGUAAUACCCUCAGCUUAAUUGUAUUUAGUGAAAAAGACUGUGUCAAAAUAUAAGUGUGACCAGGCUGUCAGUAAGAUGAAAAUUCUGUGGUUUAAGUCAGUUUCUCAGUGUGUGCUGAUGGUUUGCCAGCACUAAUUUCUUUGGAAUAUGUUAGAUUAUUCUCUUAAAGGAAUAUUAGUAAAGGGGAAUUGUAUUAUUUUCCUUCUUAUGUAGGUUCCUUUUGUCUGGUGAAAGCUAUUUGAAACAACAUACAGAAAUGUACACUCAAUCAACAAAGAAAGUAUGCUGAGAGGUUUAUAACCAUAAAAAUGAAAAUGCUCAUUUUAGAGUGUUACAAACACAUUUAUGCUGUUAAAAUAUGCUUUGUCAUUUCUGCAGCUGUCACUUUCAUGAGACACUUUUGUGAUUUAAUGCAUGGGAGUCAGUUUGCUCACUGUAUUGGUUAAACUGACUUCCAGUGUACUCAGUCUGUGACAGUAGUAUAAUGUCCACAGGAGCUUUGUUAAGUCUAAAAAUACACCUCUAAUGAUGAUUAUCUUAGGUUGGAUUGUGUUACAAACUGGAGAUAAAUGCUGAUAAAUGCAUUAAUGAUGCUUUGCAUUAAGGGAAAUUAAGUAUCCUGUCAUUUUAGUGCAUGAUCCAUAAGAAGGACUAAAAUCAGGGUGUCUUGGGCCAUUUUUCAAAAAAUGUCUCUUGUGACUGAUUUAUGCAAGUGUAACUCUAUUGGUUGUAACACUAUAGUUGGAUCCUCCUUUUAAUUCUACAGGGGAAGAAAAGCUAUUUAAAAGCACAGCAAAUGUAUUUAUUGAAUUUGGAUUAUUGACAUUCUAUGGAGGACGUCUCCUUCAGUGAACACAGCAGGACUGACUUUGGUCACAGAAGUGAAUAAACACUCAGUUCUGAUGAGAAGCUGCCGCUUGUUACUUCUACACUUUUUUGGACUCUCUGAUCUGAGUGCUAAAGUGCCAUAAGAAAACAUUCCAAAUUCAUCCGGGUUUCAUAUUCCACAGCUGGACUCCACGGGGCAGCUGAACCAGACCUGGUUUUAGCAGUGACAAAGAAAAAAUGUAUGGGGCUAAGAUGAGCCACUUCAUGUUGUUUAUCUGUGAAAAUGCCAUUUAUACUCUUACUACUUAUGCCAACAUUUAUUGUAACAACCUCUUAUACAACUGCCAUUCAUUGAUCCAGAGGAACAAUCUGGAAAUCAAAAGCAGGAUUCAGAGGAUUCUACAGAUUAUUCUAUAAUAAUGAUGAUGAUGAUGAUGUUUUGUUAAUGAAAGUAUUCUGUAUUUAUUUUCUUCUUUCGAAAAAAAAGAUUAUUUGUGCGUGUGUGGGGGGAAGGGGUGUAAUUUUGUACAGGAUCCGAUUACCUCUGUGUUGAAAUGAUAACAGUGAGCCAUAUUCAAUGUGAGAUACCCUUCUAAAUCAAGAGGAAAGGGCCAUACAGCUGCUGAAUUAGUAUGUUUUGUUUUGUUUUGUUUUUCUUACCAUUUACUGAAUUAUUUAUUUUGUAUUCCUGUAGCAAGCUAACUGUCUGUGAUUUUGGGAGGAAGUGUAGAGCAGUAACAACGUGGCAUAAAUGUAAUCAGGGGAAACAGAGAGAUUUUUAGUGUCCCACUUUGUUCAGUCCUGCAAAUGAUGAGUCUUCAGACAUGAUACCAUUAGAUUUUAGAUUUUUAAACUUAAAACACUGGCAUCAUACUUGGAAAUGCAAAAAUGCCUGGCAGAGAAUGGCCAAACCUUCAAACAGCUGUGGUUCAAAAGUGAGAGAUGUGAGAAUGAACAUAUAAAAGGUUGAAAACUGUGAAAGAUAAGGGCUGCCAUUAUUGUAACAAGUUGUUAAUAUAAUUUUAAAUGUCAUUUUCUGUUUGUUUGCAUGAGAUCUGGGUCAAAAUUAUAAAUGAAAAAAAAACCCUACUAAACAUGAAAAAAAAGUAAAAAGACAACUAAAGAAAUGACAACUUAACAUCAUAUCUUGGUUAAAAGGAUUUCUGCUUUUUAUUUUUAACAACUGUUAUGAAAAUUGACCUCUUGAUUAUAUAUUAAAACCUCCUGCAACUCACACCAUUUCUUUAUCAAUGUCUGUAUUACUAACAAAUUCUGUAUAUGAUUAAAUUAUGCAGACAUUAUCACCAAAGGAAACUUAACUUAAAAUUAAUCAUGAAUUUAAAAUUUGAGUUAAAUUUUUUUCUUCUACUUUAAUGUUAAUUUUUAAUUGAGCGUUGCUCUACUAAAAGUUAAAUAAUAAGCUGCCUUUAAAUUUCAAAUUGUUCAUUUUUCUUUACCAUAUUGGCAGUCCUUUAAAGAUGACAACCUUGGAUGUAAUGCUGUUGAAAACCACUGUAACUCCAAACAAAUGCUGUGUUUGAGCUUUGUGUGCUUUUUUUUUCCUCAGGAAGAGAUGGGAAAUGUAGUCUACAAAAUCAGGGUCUCCCAGACAUGGUGAUCUGUUACUCUGUGUGCGUGUGUGCGCGUGUGUGUGUAUGUAUGUGUGUGCGUGUGUGUUUAGGAGUUCAUGUGUAAAGUUUGUAUAUGUUUCAUUUGUAUAUAUUACCAUUUGGAAGAUGCACUGUGUGUCUUUAAAAAGUGCUUCCUGAGUACCUUGUUUUUUAUGUCGGGCCUUUCCUCAGUACGGUCUAGUAGCCUCAUAGAGUCAUUCUGUAUAUUAACUCUCCACUUGUACCUGCGACCAAUCUCUUGUGCUUGUACAGAAAAUGAUGGGGGUGUUUCAUGACGCAUGCAGACACAAUAUUAUACUUAUGAAUCUAUAUCUAAGUUAGAAACAUGUAUUUGGUUUAUUUAUGCUCUUAUUUAUUGAUUUUUCAAACUACAACAUUUUGUUGAAGUGGUUUACCAUGCUCUUCUGAUCUUCUGUUGUAUUGUAAAGAAACUAUUUUAUGUCCAUAACUAUCGAUGAACCCUUAAUAAAAUUAACUAUCAAC